Long non-coding RNA from Gadus macrocephalus (Pacific cod), 778 nucleotides. RefSeq lists it as uncharacterized. The transcript has 2 exons. Lineage: Eukaryota; Metazoa; Chordata; Actinopteri; Gadiformes; Gadidae. The record is from RefSeq and is a predicted model, not a curated record.
GACGGUGCUGCCCGCCCUGCUCCACGGCGAGGCGGUGACCAUCGACAUGUCCUUCAUGCUGUUCGUGGCCCGGGAGCGCGGCCUGCUCACGGCCCAGCAGCAGCAGCGCGUGCUGGGCUGCAUGCGGGGGCUGGGGCUGCCGGUCCACCACGCGGCCUGCAGCCUGGGCCUGGUCCGCCAGGCGCUGGCGGGGCGGCUGAAGCACUCGGCCGGCUCCCUGAGGAUGCCCCUCCCCACGGGGGCUGGGCAGGGCAGAGAUAUUCCAUGACAUCAGCGAUGAGACCGUGUGUGAGGCCUACAGUAAAUGGAACCAGGAGCUGUCAGCCCCAGAGGACAGCUGACGGCAUGGAGCUGUACUGUCGUCCCUGCAGUGUGGCGCAUCGAAUGGUCUCGCUGAGGCCAGAUCUCACGUGUUCAGUCUGGUGGAGCUUUGAGUGUUUUCUGUUCACUGACGCAUUUCGUAUUGAGUGGUGAUGCUGUAAAGACACUGAGGAACACAUGUGAGGGGGUUUCACGGGAGAAACGAGACCUGAGGGGAGGACUCCAGGGAGAAUUACAAAGAAACAGGAGAAUGUAGAGUGACCGUACAACGCAGAGUUAGCCUGUACAGGGGACUGUGCCUCAGUAUAACAUUGAUCUCCAGAUUUAUUGGUUGUAGGUUUUGGUUGAACUGCCUUUUUUCGCUCUUGAACAGGAAACAAACAAAAGCUGGUGAACAAACAACAACGACCAAGGGGCUGUGAACAUUCAAAUAAAACGUUUUAAUAUUUUUCCACAA